This 208-nucleotide ribosomal RNA is filed under the name uncultured bacterium. Its description in RNAcentral is "partial 16S ribosomal RNA". It matches the Rfam family "Bacterial small subunit ribosomal RNA", at positions 568 to 775 of the family's 1533-position model. The record is from RNAcentral.
AGCGUAGACGGAAUGGCAAGUCUGAUGUGAAAGGCCGGGGCUCAACCCCGGGACUGCAUUGGAAACUGUCAAUCUAGAGUACCGGAGGGGUAAGCGGAAUUCCUAGUGUAGCGGUGAAAUGCGUAGAUAUUAGGAGGAACACCAGUGGCGAAGGCGGCUUACUGGACGGUAACUGACGUUGAGGCUCGAAAGCGUGGGGAGCAAACAA